This is an RNA transcript of Eutrema salsugineum, 2196 nucleotides long. It is a transcript of the gene named splicing factor U2af large subunit A, with no coding region annotated. The transcript has 13 exons. NCBI's taxonomy places the organism in Eukaryota, Viridiplantae, Streptophyta, Magnoliopsida, Brassicales, Brassicaceae. The record is from RefSeq and is a predicted model, not a curated record.
AGGUCUAGUCUAUCUCUCGCUUGUGCCCUAAAUUUAUUUCUUAUAUCACACCCCCUUUUCUCAGGAACCUCAACAGCGAUUCGUGGAAUUUUGAAAUUGUUUAGACGCCGCGAGAGAUGUCUGACAACGAAGAUAACGGCGCCGCCGAUGAUGGAUUUCACUCCGGAGAUGGUGGUGGACGCGGCGGCGAGAUCGACGAUCACCGAAACUUGAAAUCCCAGAUGGAAAUGCUUGACAAUGAGAGGGAUUCUUCUAGAAGUAAAGAAAGUGAUAGAGUGAAAGGGAGAGAUAAAGAGAGAGAUAGGGACCACGAGCGGAGGAGAGACAGAGAGGGAGAGAGGAGCAAGGAACGUGACAGGGAGGAGGAUAGAAGCAGGGAUAAAGGUAUGGAGAAAGAAAGGGAUCGAGAGAGACAUCACAGAAGUCGUCACAGAGAUCGCAGUGGGGAACGAGGUGAGAGAAGAGAACGUGUCAGGGGAGAUGAUGAUGACCAUCGUCGAAGCCGUGAUCGUGACUUUGAGAGGCGUAGAGAUUAUGACAAGAAUAGAGGAGAUAGACGCCGUCACCGGUCUCGUUCUCGUUCAAAGGGUAGAUCUGAGCGUAGAUCACGAUCUCCAUCCAAGAGUAAGCGGGUCAGUGGAUUCGACAUGGCACCCCCAGCUUCUGGGAUGUUAGAUGCUGGUUCUGCUGUUACAGGUCAAGUUCCCGCUCCAAACCUAACUCUUCCCGGAGCUGGAAUGUUUCCGAACAUGUAUCCCUUACCAACUGGACAGACAUUCAGUGGACUCCCUAUGAUGCCAAUUCAGGCAAUGACACAGCAGGCUACUAGACAUGCUCGGAGAGUCUAUGUUGGUGGUCUUUCUCCCUCAGCAAAUGAACAGUCUGUUGCAACAUUUUUCAGUCAGGUUAUGGCUGCUGUUGGCGGAAACACUGCUGGUCCAGGUGAUGCUGUUGUCAAUGUGUACAUAAACUACGAGAAGAAGUUUGCAUUUGUGGAGAUGCGAUCUGUUCAAGAGGCGAGUAAUGCAAUGUCUUUAGAUGGGAUUAUAUUUGAGGGAGCUCCAGUGAAGGUGAGGAGACCUAGUGACUAUAACCCAUCUCUAGCUGCAACCCUUGGUCCAAGCCAGCCAAUUCCCAAUUUAAAUUUGGCUGCUGUUGGUCUGACUCCAGGGGCUUCUGGUGCACUUGAGGGACCAGACCGUAUUUUUGUUGGUGGGCUUCCCUAUUAUAUCCCUGAGGCACAAAUCAAGGAAUUGCUGGAGUCCUUGGGAGCCCUGAAGGGUUUUGAUCUUGUAAAAGACAGAGAAACCGGAAACUCAAAAGGAUACGCAUUCUGCGCAUAUCAAGAUCCGUCUGUCACAGACAUUGCUUGUGCUGCUCUCAACGGAAUUACAAUGGGAGAUAAAACUCUUACAGUGAGGCGAGCUAACCAAGGAACAACUCAACCGAAAUCUGAACAGGAGAGUGUAUUGUUGCAUGCACAGCAGCAAGUUGCUUUCCAGAGGAUUAUGCUACAACAGGGAACAGCAGCCACCAAAGUAGUGUGCCUGACACAAGUAGUUACAGAGGAAGAGCUUAGAAACGAUGAGGAGUACGAAGACAUUGUUGUAGACAUGAGAGAAGAAGGCGGAAAGUUUGCCUUUUGUUGUCCCACAUUCUGCUAUAAAGAAUCAGGCCCAUAACAGGAGACUGCAUAACUUCCUUAUCUAUAUAUCAUCCAAGCACCAUCCUUCUUAGAAAAAAACAACUUGAAGUUGUUUCUUCUUUUGUUUUUUUGUCUCUUCUAUUGGAUUCGAAAAUGUUUGCUCUUAAAUUGCAGGUGCGUUGACUCAAGUCGUGAUCCCUCGCCCUAGCCCCAACGGUGAGCCCAUUCAGGGCGUUGGCAAGGUGUUUCUUGAAUACGCGGAGACAGAGAGCUCGAGCAGGGCAAGAAACGGGAUGAACGGUAGGAAAUUUGGAGGGAACCAAGUGAUGGCUGUGUUUUACCCUGAAGAUAAGUUUGAACAAGGAGAUUAUUCUAUUUAAGAGAGUUUUUUAAUUCUACAAGUAAUUUCUUCUUAAUCUUGUUGUCUCUUCUUUGUCUGGUUUACUUUAAAGCCAUUUGUAUCUUGUUUUUGUCGUAUCAAAAGACAAGGAAGGAUCCAAAAUACAAUGCUUGUAACAGUUUUUCACUAAACAAGGCCUUUUCUUUUUCUC